UUAAGCUACUAAGGGUGUACGGUGAAUGCCCUGGCAUCAGAAGGCGAUGAAGGACGUAGCUAGCUGCGAUAAGCCCCGGGGAGCCGCAAGCAGGCCGUGAUCCGAGGAUGUCCGAAUGGGGAAACCCAGGCGAUGAAUGCCGCCUAUCCUCUGCUGAAUACAUAGGCAGUGAGAAGCCCACGCAGGGAAGUGAAACAUCUCAGUACCUGCAGGAAUAGAAAUCAAUCGAGAUUCCCCCAGUAGUGGCGAGCGAAAAGGGAACAGCCUAAACUGUGCCGAUGUCAAGCCCGUGUGCGUUGUCGGCGUAGUGUUGUAGGCCUUCAUUGGACGGUGAUACGGAGCCGUCGGCGAGUUACAAAUUAGGAUCGUAGCAGAAUAGUCUGGAAAGGCUGACCAUAGAAGGUGACAGUCCUGUAUGUAAAACGACCCUAACUCGUUGAAUGGAGGUCCUGAGUACCACGGGGCCCGAGAAACCUUGUGGGAAUCUGGGACGACCACGUUCCAAGGCUAAAUACUCUCUGAUGACCGAUAGUGAACCAGUACCGUGAGGGAAAGGUGAAAAGAACCCCGGUGAGGGGAGUGAAAUAGAACCUGAAACCGUACACCUACAAGCAGCGAAAGGGCUAUGCCCGCAAGGGAAUGCCUGAUCGUGUGCCUUUUGCUUAAUGAGCCUGCGAGUUAUUUAGCGUAGCAAGGUUAAGGCGAAGAGCCGGAGCCGUAGCGAAAGCGAGUCCGAAUUGGGCAUUGAGUUGCGCUGAAUAGACCCGAAGCGAAGUGAUCUACCCAUGGCCAAGGCGAAUCCGCCGUAACAGGCGGAGGAGGCCUGAACUGAUGUUAGUUGCAAAUGGCUCGGAUGAGCUGUGGGUAGGGGUGAAAGGCUAAUCAAACUUCGUGAUUGCUGGUUCUCCCCGAAAUAACUAGAGGGUUAGCCUCGUCUCAGCCGUGACGGAGGUAGAGCACUGAAUGAGCUAGGGGCGUUCCAACGCUACCGAACUCAAUCAAACUCCGAAUGCCGUUACUGGACGAACGGGAGUUAGACUACGAGUGCUAAGAUCCGUGGUCAAAAGGGAAAUAGCCCAGACCGUCAGCUAAGGUCCCUAAUCGUGAGCUAAGUGGAAAAGGUUGUAAGAUCGCUCAGACAGCCAGGAGGUUGGCUUAGAAGCAGCCAUCCUUUAAAGAGUGCGUAAUAGCUCACUGGUCGAGCGAUUUUGCGCCGAAAAUGUAACGGGGCUCAAGUUCACAACCGAAGCUACGGACUUGCAUCGCAAGAUGUGAGUGGUAGGGGAGCAUUCUCUGUGCGGUGAAGGUUGACCGACAAGGACAACUGGAGCGCAGAGAAGAGAUUAUGCAGGCAUAAGUAGCGAUAAACGAUGUGAGAAUCAUCGUCCCCGUAAGCCUAAGGUUUCCUGGCCUAUGUUCGUCAGGUCAGGGUGAGUCGGAUCCUAAGCCGAGGUCGACAGACGUAGGCGAUGGCAAACAGGUCAAUAUUCCUGUACCACCGUAUUGACGUUAUCAGCGAAGGGGGGACGCAGAAGGGUAGGCACCGCCGGGUCCCUGGAAUACCCGGUCCAAGCAUGUAGGCGGGAACUGUAGGCAAAUCCGCGGUUCCGUUAACGCCGAGAUGUGAUGGGGAGGCCGCAAGGCCAUAAACGGGCUGAUCCCACGCUGCCGAGAAAAGCCUCGUAGCGAGUCAGUACGAUGUCCGUACCGCAAACCGACACAGGUAGGUGGGUGGAAUACACCAAGGGGCGUGAGAGAACACUCCCUAAGGAACUAUGCAAUUUAGCCCCGUAACUUCGGGAGAAGGGGUGCCCUGCGUAAGUGAGGCCGUACAGGCCGAGCUGAACGGGGUUGCAAUAAAGUGGCUCUAGCGACUGUUUACCAAAAACACAGGACUCUGCAAACACGAUAGUGGAUGUAUAGGGUCUGACGCCUGCCCGGUGCUGGAAGGUUAACCGGAGGAGUUAGCCGCAAGGCAAAGCUUUGAAGGGAAGCCCCAGUAAACGGCGGCCGUAACUAUAACGGUCCUAAGGUAGCGAAAUUCCUUGUCGGGUAAGUUCCGACCUGCAUGAAUGGCGUAACGA
Molecule: ribosomal RNA, 2084 nt
Filed under: wastewater metagenome
Description: bacterial LSU rRNA
Rfam family: Bacterial large subunit ribosomal RNA
Source: RNAcentral